UACGUAGGUGGCAAGCGUUAUCCGGAUUUAUUGGGCGUAAAGAGAACGCAGGCGGUCUUUUAAGUCUGAUGUGAAAGCCUUCGGCUUAACCGGAGUAGUGCAUUGGAAACUGGGAGACUUGAGUGCAGAAGAGGAGAGCGGAACUCCAUGUGUAGCGGUGAAAUGCGUAGAUAUAUGGAAGAACACCAGUGGCGAAAGCGGCUCUCCGGUCUGUAACUGACGCUGAGGUUCGAAAGCGUGGGUAGCAAACAGG
This 253-nucleotide ribosomal RNA is filed under the name uncultured bacterium. RNAcentral describes it as "partial 16S ribosomal RNA". It matches the Rfam family "Bacterial small subunit ribosomal RNA", at positions 524 to 776 of the family's 1533-position model. The record is from RNAcentral.